UGCAUUUCCGUCCCAGGAGAACAGAGGUGU
RNAcentral lists this non-coding RNA (30 nucleotides) under Mus musculus (house mouse). Lineage: Eukaryota; Metazoa; Chordata; Mammalia; Rodentia; Muridae. The record is from RNAcentral.